This is a non-coding RNA of Paraburkholderia susongensis, 152 nucleotides long. NCBI's taxonomy places the organism in Bacteria, Pseudomonadati, Pseudomonadota, Betaproteobacteria, Burkholderiales, Burkholderiaceae. The record is from Rfam.
CCUGCUAUACGACUAGCAGUAGCCUACGGAGACAUGCGUCACUGGCAACGGUGAGGUGUGAAGCUCUCCUGACAACGUAGCCCCCGGUACCGGGCAAGGCGAAACCGUGAGGUAUAGCCUUGGAGACUCCCAGCAGCAAGGGGGUUGAGGAG